RNAcentral lists this ribosomal RNA (342 nucleotides) under Triticum aestivum (bread wheat). RNAcentral's name for it is "partial small subunit ribosomal RNA". The record is from RNAcentral. Lineage: Eukaryota; Viridiplantae; Streptophyta; Magnoliopsida; Poales; Poaceae.
AUGGCAGGCGAGGGGCGGCCAGCUAGACCGUUAGCGCCGGCGGAGCCACAGUCACAGCAGCACUACGACGACGUCGACGUCGACGAGCAGCAGCUCGACGAACGGCAGUUCGACGAGCUGUGUCAGCGAUAUGGGCCCUCCCAUCUUUCUGACCGCCUGGCCGCCGCGCCGGCCGUUGCUCAGGAGACGAUCGUCGAGAUCCGUUUCGACAAGGGCUACCCAGAGUUCUCCGACGGCACCAGCUACAACGGCGUCGGGGUGACCAACGCGACAGACGCCGCAAGUGGCGCAGAGACGAAGAUGAGUCGUCAGAUGAGGAACAAGCUGCCCCCUGCCGUCUAA